RNAcentral lists this long non-coding RNA (972 nucleotides) under Spirodela polyrhiza (greater duckweed). Its description in RNAcentral is "long non-coding RNA (SPOL_LNC000267)". The record is from RNAcentral. Lineage: Eukaryota; Viridiplantae; Streptophyta; Magnoliopsida; Alismatales; Araceae.
AGACGGAACCGCCGCCGCCGCGAGUGGCGGCGACGCCGGCGAUCGAGCGGUGGCUCUGAUAGUCGCGAGCUCCGUGGUCUCGGGGCUGGCGUGCUUCCUCGGCGGGGCGCGGACGAGGAGGCCGCUCUCGGCCGCCUUCGGGGCGGCUCACGGAGCUCUCAAGGUGGCGAGAGGCGUCGGAGAGCUCCGGUUCCCUGCUCUCCGCGGACUGAAACUCGCCGUCAAGGUCCUGAUCAAGGGAUACAAGGCUUCAAAACGCUUCAAUCUGGUCGCGGCAACACCCCGGGGAUCCUCCACCGCCUCCAGGAAGCUCAUCGCUUAUCUGAGGGCUCUCAACGUCGCCAGGUACGCCCGCUGCUUCCUCUUUCACGACGGGGCUGCCGGAGUAGGGUUUCUGAGGAACUGCUACAAGUUGUCGAGGAAUUUUCCCAAGGCCUUGGAAGAUUUCUCGUGUAUCCGGUUGCAUUCCACUCUCAGAGAGAGCCUGGAUGCGGUGGCGCUGUCGAUUAAGAUCGCACUGGUGGCGGUGGAGCUGGAGAGGAUCGCCAUUGCAGCGCGUCGAGGGAAGCAUCGCCAUUGCAGGUCUGUGAGGAGGGGCGCUCAUUCGGGGUACGCCGUUCGUUCGAAGCCGCGGAGGACGGCGGUCGAUCGGGGGUCUGCAGGCGUCGAGAGAUUCGCAGAGCGGAGCUCACUUCACGAACAAACUCCCGCGAUCGAUCUCUCGGGAUUGCUCUGUUUGUCGAUUCCUCUGAUCCACGAGAACAUUCCAUCCAAGAUCUCACCAGAUAAAUAAAUAAUUUACGCCGACCGAUCUGCGGCAUCAUCAUACAAUCGCACAUCCCAGAGACUAAUCUGAGCGACGAGCUGUCGAGGUAGCAGUAGAUUGCGGCAAUUGGAAAUAUUUCUUUCCACGGGUGUUCUUCAAACUAUCUUGCGGAAAAUAUUUAUAAUUUCCAGAUAAAAAAGAGGGCC